This 243-nucleotide long non-coding RNA is filed under the name Arabidopsis lyrata. Its description in RNAcentral is "long non-coding RNA (ALYR_LNC003180)". The record is from RNAcentral. Lineage: Eukaryota; Viridiplantae; Streptophyta; Magnoliopsida; Brassicales; Brassicaceae.
ACAGUGUUUGCUACCCAUUCUGGAUAUUGUACUUCUCUUAUGGACCCUAUCUUCAAAAGUUUAUCCACUUCGUCAUUUACUAUUUUUGCUCGCUCCACUCCAAGCUUUCUUCUUUUUUGUUUCACCGGUUUGAAGCUUGGAUCCACGUUUAGUUCAUGACAAAUUAUACUUGGAUUUAUGCCAGGUAUGUCCGCUGCUGACCAUGCAAACGAUGUUUUGUUUUUCCUUAAGAGUUCGAUCAAA